This 465-nucleotide ribosomal RNA is filed under the name uncultured bacterium. RNAcentral's name for it is "partial 16S ribosomal RNA". It matches the Rfam family "Bacterial small subunit ribosomal RNA", at positions 28 to 507 of the family's 1533-position model. The record is from RNAcentral.
GACGAACGCUGGCGGCGUGCUUAACACAUGCAAGUCGAACGGAAAGGCCCUGCUUGCAGGGUACUCGAGUGGCGAACGGGUGAGUAACACGUGGGUGAUCUGCCCUGCACUUCGGGAUAAGCCUGGGAAACUGGGUCUAAUACCGGAUAGGAGCCAUUUUUAGUGUGAUGGUUGGAAAGUUUUUUCGGUGUAGGAUGAGCUCGCGGCCUAUCAGCUUGUUGGUGGGGUAAUGGCCUACCAAGGCGGCGACGGGUAGCCGGCCUUAGAGGGUGGACGGCCACAUUGGGACUGAGAUACGGCCCAGACUCCUACGGGAGGCAGCAGUGGGGAAUAUUGCACAAUGGGCGCAAGCCUGAUGCAGCGACGCCGCGUGGGGGAUGACGGCCUUCGGGUUGUAAACUCCUUUCGCUAGGGACGAAGCUUUUUGUGACGGUACCUAGAUAAGAAGCACCGGCUAACUACGUG